Molecule: ribosomal RNA, 402 nt
Filed under: uncultured Pedomicrobium sp.
Lineage: Bacteria; Pseudomonadati; Pseudomonadota; Alphaproteobacteria; Hyphomicrobiales; Hyphomicrobiaceae
Description: bacterial SSU rRNA
Rfam family: Bacterial small subunit ribosomal RNA
Source: RNAcentral
AGUGGGGAAUAUUGGACAAUGGGCGCAAGCCUGAUCCAGCCAUGCCGCGUGAGUGACGAAGGCCUUAGGGUUGUAAAGCUCUUUUGGCGGGGAAGAUAAUGACGGUACCCGCAGAAUAAGCUCCGGCUAACUUCGUGCCAGCAGCCGCGGUAAUACGAAGGGAGCUAGCGUUGUUCGGAAUCACUGGGCGUAAAGCGCACGUAGGCGGACUUUCAAGUCAGGGGUGAAAUCCCGGGGCUCAACCUCGGAACUGCCUUUGAUACUGUUGGUCUCGAGUCCGGAAGAGGUGAGUGGAAUUCCUAGUGUAGAGGUGAAAUUCGUAGAUAUUAGGAAGAACACCGGUGGCGAAGGCGGCUCACUGGUCCGGUACUGACGCUGAGGUGCGAAAGCGUGGGGAGCAAA